AGGAAGGGGAGAGAUU
RNAcentral lists this transfer RNA (16 nucleotides) under Oreogrammitis nuda. RNAcentral's name for it is "partial tRNA-Ser". The record is from RNAcentral. Lineage: Eukaryota; Viridiplantae; Streptophyta; Polypodiopsida; Polypodiales; Polypodiaceae.